CUCCUACGGGAGGCAGCAGUAGGGAAUCUUCCGCAAUGGGCGCAAGCCUGACGGAGCAACGCCGCGUGAGUGAGGAAGGCCUUCGGGUUGUAAAACUCAGUCACCUGGGAAGAGAGGUAUGGGGAGUGGAAUGCCCCAUACGAGACGGUACCAGGGGAGGAAGCCCCGGCUAACUACGUGCCAGCAGCCGCGGUAAUACGUAGGGGGCAAGCGUUGUCCGGAAUCACUGGGCGUAAAGCGUGCGUAGGCGGUCUUUCAAGUCCGGGGUGAAAACUCAAGGCUCAACCUUGAGAAUGCCUUGGAAACUGGGGGACUUGAGUACUGGAGAGGCAAGGGGAAUUCCACGUGUAGCGGUGAAAUGCGUAGAGAUGUGGAGGAAUACCAGUGGCGAAGGCGCCUUGCUGGACAGUGACUGACGCUGAGGCACGAAAGCGUGGGGAGCAAACAGGAUUAGAUACCCUGGUAGUCCACGCUGUAAACGAUGAGUGCUAGGUGUUGGGGGUUCAUCCCCUCAGUGCCGAAGGAAACCCAAUAAGCACUCCGCCUGGGGAGUACGGUCGCAAGACUGAAACUCAAAGGAAUUGACGGGGGCCCGCACAAGCAGUGGAGCAUGUGGUUUAAUUCGAAGCAACGCGAAGAACCUUACCAGGGCUUGACAUCCCUCUGACCGGUUCAGAGAUGGGCCUUCCCUUCGGGGCAGAGGAGACAGGUGGUGCAUGGUUGUCGUCAGCUCGUGUCGUGAGAUGUUGGGUUAAGUCCCGCAACGAGCGCAACCCUUGACCUGUGUUACCAGCACGUAAUGGUGGGGACUCACAGGUGACUGCCGGCGUAAGUCGGAGGAAGGUGGGGAUGACGUCAAAUCAUCAUGCCCUUUAUGUCCUGGGCUACACACGUGCUACAAUGGGCGGUACAACGGGAAGCGAGACCGCGAGGUGGAGCGAAACCCAAAAAGCCGUUCGUAGUUCGGAUUGCAGGCUGCAACCCGCCUGCAUGAAGCCGGAAUUGCUAGUAAUCGCGGAUCAGCAUGCCGCGGUGAAUCCGUUCCCGGGCCUUGCACACACCGCCCGU
Molecule: ribosomal RNA, 1068 nt
Filed under: Alicyclobacillus sp. enrichment culture clone MRT18-30
Lineage: Bacteria; Bacillati; Bacillota; Bacilli; Caryophanales; Alicyclobacillaceae
Description: bacterial SSU rRNA
Rfam family: Bacterial small subunit ribosomal RNA
Source: RNAcentral